RNAcentral lists this ribosomal RNA (394 nucleotides) under uncultured Anaeromyxobacter sp. Its description in RNAcentral is "bacterial SSU rRNA". It matches the Rfam family "Bacterial small subunit ribosomal RNA", at positions 67 to 447 of the family's 1533-position model. Lineage: Bacteria; Pseudomonadati; Myxococcota; Myxococcia; Myxococcales; Anaeromyxobacteraceae. The record is from RNAcentral.
CGAGAAAGCCCGCAAGGGUGAGUACAGCGGCGCACGGGUGCGUAACACGUGGGUAAUCUACCUCGAAGUCCGGAAUAACUCCCCGAAAGGGGUGCUAAUGCCGGAUGAGACCACGGGAGCUGCGGCUCCCGAGGGAAAAGAUGGCCUCUGCAUGCAAGCUAUCGCUUCGAGAUGAGCCCGCGGCCCAUCAGCUCGUUGGCGGGGUAACGGCCCACCAAGGCUACGACGGGUAGCUGGUCUGAGAGGACGAUCAGCCACACUGGAACUGAGACACGGUCCAGACUCCUACGGGAGGCAGCAGUGGGGAAUCUUGCGCAAUGGGCGAAAGCCUGACGCAGCAACGCCGCGUGUGUGAUGAAGGUCUUCGGAUCGUAAAGCACUGUCGCGAGGGACG